Long non-coding RNA from Hirundo rustica (Barn swallow), 584 nucleotides. RefSeq lists it as uncharacterized. The record is from RefSeq and is a predicted model, not a curated record. NCBI's taxonomy places the organism in Eukaryota, Metazoa, Chordata, Aves, Passeriformes, Hirundinidae. The transcript has 3 exons.
UGGAGGAGGAACCUUGAGGAAGAGGGAAUGAGAAGAUCAUGAAGUAGCCUGGGGAGAGAGAAUUGCUGCUGUGAGUGAUAAACAAGAAGUCUGUGUCUUGGCUCACUUCAACCCUCUAAGAAGAGGGCUGCUGCCAACACCUUUGCAUUCUUUUCUUCUCACCACCAUUAUUAUGACAGUGGAGGGAGUAUCUCAGGGUGUCAGCUGGAAGAGCCAUGAAAAACUGGUCAAGAAGUAGCCAUUCAAGGAAUAGAAGCUCAUAUAUGAACUCACCAUUCUGAUGUUGCUGUAGAACUGAAGAAACCCAAAAGCUUGUCCAGCCUUUCCAGCUCUGCCCAUUGGUCAUAACAAAAGAUGUUACCUCUACCUUCAAGCUUUUCAGGCAUUGCAUUUUCCCUACUAGUAGCUACACUGUUAGACAUUGUGGGCCAAGUUUAUUGAAAGGAGCGGCACUUUCUAGCAUCACUGGUUCACUGGCACAAUUAACUUGAUCCAGUCUGCUGUGUUUCUUCAAAGCCCCUCAGGUGGGAGGACAGAAGCAGAUGUAUCUUCCCACCAAGGUGUCAGAGAAGCCCAGCAUAGUG